CCCUGGGUGGUGAAAAUGGUUAACGUAUUCAGAUACUAAUUGAAAGUUUGGUGGUUCAAGUCCACCCAGAGGCA
This 74-nucleotide transfer RNA is filed under the name Loxodonta africana (African savanna elephant). It matches the Rfam family "tRNA". Rfam says of the family: Transfer RNA (tRNA) molecules are approximately 80 nucleotides in length. Lineage: Eukaryota; Metazoa; Chordata; Mammalia; Proboscidea; Elephantidae. The record is from Rfam by way of RNAcentral.